ACUCAAAGGAAUUGACGGGGGCCCGCACAAGCGGUGGAGCAUGUGGUUUAAUUCGAUGCAACGCGAAGAACCUUACCUAUUCUUGACAUCCUAGGAAGCUGGCUGAAAGGCCGGUGUGCCGAAAGGAACCUAGAGACAGGUGCUGCAUGGCUGUCGUCAGCUCGUGUUGUGAGAUGUUGGGUUAAGUCCCGUAACGAGCGCAACCCUUGCUCUUAGUUACCAUCAUUCAGUUGGGGACGCUAAGAGGACUGCCGGUGAUGAACCGGAGGAAGGCGGGGACGACGUCAAGUCAUCAUGGCCUUUAUGAGUAGGGCUACACACGUGCUACAAUGGGGCGUACAGAGGGAAGCGAAACUGUGAAGUGAAGCGAAUCUCAGAAAGCGCCUCGUAGUCCGGAUUGGAGUCUGCAACUCGACUCCAUGAAGUUGGAAUCGCUAGUAAUCGCGAAUCAGCAUUGUCGCGGUGAAUACGUUCCCGGGCCUUGUACACACCGCCCGU
Molecule: ribosomal RNA, 498 nt
Filed under: uncultured bacterium
Lineage: Bacteria
Description: partial 16S ribosomal RNA
Rfam family: Bacterial small subunit ribosomal RNA
Source: RNAcentral